This 4629-nucleotide long non-coding RNA is filed under the name Mytilus galloprovincialis (Mediterranean mussel). The record is from RNAcentral. Lineage: Eukaryota; Metazoa; Mollusca; Bivalvia; Mytilida; Mytilidae.
AUUUGGUUUACAUAACAUUUUUUGUCUUUUAUUUUUAUUGCAUAAGGUAAGAGAAUGUUUAUUUGUCACGUUUAACAAAUUAUAUCUGUUUGGUUUGGUCACACAUAUUUUGUAAAGUUAACAACAUAAGACUGUCAUAGGAGUGGAAAGUUUUGCCAUCUAUAAAAACCAGUUUACUCACCAUAUUCUUCAAAACAAUGCAUAUACCAAGUUCGGAACAUGACGUUUGUUUUCAAGUCAUGUUGUCAGUUGGUAACAACGAGAGAUUGUAUUUUAUUAGUAUUUAAAAAAAGUUCCCUUUUUAAAUUAACAUUGGAGUUUGGUAAUUUAACUAUUUCAUUUUCCAUUACUUUUUCUACUUUUUAUUUGAUUCUGUUAAGGAGUUCAUAUAUUCUUUUUUAACUGUUUGUUUUAUCAUAGAGAACCAGUUUAUGAUUUCCGUACUGACAAAGCUUUUUCUUGUAAUAGUGUACAUCCGGUUCCUUAUUGACCAAAUAAAGGCAACAGUAGUAUAAAGCUGUUCAAAAGUCAUAAAUCGAUCGAGAGAAAACAAAUCCGGGUUACAAAUUAAAACUGAGGAAACACAUCAACUAUAAGAGGAAAAUAACGAAACAACAGAAACACUGAAGUGCAACAAAAACAAACGACAAUGCAACAUGUAUAGAAACGAACUAUAAGAUAACAACUGCAAUAUUCCUGACUUGGUACAGAACAUUUUAAGAAAAAAAAUGAGGGUUGAACCUGGUUUUGUGGCUAGCUAAACCUCGCGAUUCAUGGCAAUGUGACAUAUACCGCUAAAAUGACCGAAUAAAUGAAAAAGAUGAAGCCAAAACUUUAAAAGUUACAAAGCAAAAAAAUGCAAAGGGUGUCGUAACUGCAGUGCCAUCUUAAGACAUAUACCUGAUUGAAAUGUGCAAUUUUUUAUUGCCCAUCAGCUGGAGCACAAUUGCACGCUCAAUAACCGAUGAGCAAUGAACCAUUUAUUUAAAAAAAAUCUGCUUCCAUCCAUGUCAGGAACACUGUACUGAGUCUUUUAGUGUUCUUCUAAAUAAGUUAAGUUAAGUAAACACCCUAAAAGUCCCCUUAAUGCAACCGUCUCUUAAAUUUCUAUGGUUGUUCAUCAGUAGAUUCGUUAUGAGUUAUCAAAGACCAAGUUGAUGGACUACGAGUUUUGAUAGACAGAUAAUUGAGUUUGCUUUAUGUGUUUCCAUACUUUUGAUUAUUCAAGUAUUAUAUUUCAAAUAAAAAGUAGAAAUAUUCUUCUAUUGAUUUAACUAUACUUUCUUGUACAUAAAAAUGAAUAGUAUGGACGCUGAAUGUGUCAGUGUAAGAUUUAUUUGUAUCACUCGAGCUGAUAAAACUUAAUUGACUGAAUUGACCUAGAUAAUCUUUUAGUGAAGAUUCACUCUACCUUAUAUAAAACCAAGUGUGCCUGUACAGAUGGUAUUAAUAAGCAAGAUGGUUUCAAAAUGUACAAUUGUAGUGCUUUAAAAUCUGAAAGAUGUAAGAUUUUCGGUUCAUAAUAAGUCUGUGAUUAUGUAGUAUAUAUUUUUUAGGAUGGUCUGUGUCUUCACGUUCUUUUAAUCCUUGCUAAAAUUAAAAAUCGAUAGAUGUUUUCUAGUAAGGUUUGUUUUAAAAAAUAGAAAUUUUCAAUAAUACAACAUGCUUCUUAUUUUAUGUUAACGUUGUUCUUUAAUCAAUAUGGUAAUACAUGAAAAGUUAAUUUCCAUGAUUUACAAAACAAUGGAUACCGCAAACUUUCACUAUGGCCGAUGAAGCCCCCAACAAGUUUUAAAUGACUUGUAACAUUUCAUUCAAUAUGUUCAAUGGAAACUCGAUAUUCUACAAUGACUAUUUUUUUUUGUGUGUACCGGCUUUUUGUUACUCUGCUGUCAGGUGUGUGAUGUAUAUGGCUAAUGAAAUAGUUCAAAACCUUUUCUCGACGAGGAUCCGGAGCCCCACACUCUUAUAUGAGCAGUAAAGGAAAUUGAACUUCAAUCUUGAAAAUAGAGAUAUAAAUCAGACGUUGCUACAGCGACAGCUUAAGAAAUAACCACACAUGAUACUACAAUCAGAACUCGACAUAAUAUUUAUGAUUCUGCUGUAAAUGUUGAAGCUACAAUAACCCCCGUCACAAAAUUUAAAAAAGGGGCAAAGUAUCUUUGCUGUAAUAAUAUAAAUAUAUCUCUAGUUUGAAGUCCAAAUUAUUAAUGAAUACUGUAAACUAAUUAUUCAAAUAUACGAAUUACAAUAGCAGUGUACCAUCAGGUCAUAACUGCUUGGGGAUAAAACUCAUUAUAAGUUAUGUGACAUGCACCUGACCCCGUACGGAUCAAUAGAGGUUGAGAAAAUUCCAUAGGACCGACGGCCGAAGAUCCUAUAAACUUUACAUGUCCUCUAUGGAUUCAUAGGUGCGCAGCAGUGAACCGUAUAACGAAUUUACCGCACACGGGACGUUUCCUGCUAAGUUUGUAUAUAAAGAAUCACAAAGUUACUGAGGAAGUUCAAUAAAAGUGUAUAAGAGUUCAAAAUUUAUGAAAAAAGAAUGUACAUGGAAGAAUCGCAUCAGUUAUAUUUUAGAUCAACAUAUGUGUGCUGACCACUGCAAGACGACACCCACGGGAACGAAAGGUUCCAAAGCAGUUACAACGAUUCUAUUGUAGUAAAAAACAGAUGUAUCUUAGUCCUUCAAAUGACCGUAUCUUUUGCACCAAAUACAAUUGAUCAGUAACGUUUGAAAGUUUAAAAUUUAAAAGCGCCUUUAAUGGAGUGGCAGUAUAUAUCAUUGGAAUAUAUUUUGAUAGUAGAUCUAUAUUUGAUUUCAGUACCAAUUACUAAAGGCUUAUACCUUCAUACUAAAUGAGCUGUUCAAGGAUUAUCGGGUCCAUACAAGACCUUUUUAGGCAAUUACUAGGAUGUGUUGUACGUAUAUGGGCAGUUGAAGACGCUGAUAAAAUCUACUUAUUAAGUACAUAUAUUGUUUCAAAUUUCUGAACAACAAUGUUUUAACGUGACUGUAGUACUAUUAGUCAAUUCAUUUAUUUUAGGUGUUAAAGCUCAUUGAUGAUUUUUUUUACCAAUAUCAUUGUUUUAUCGAAUAUUCCGAAGGUUUUUUUUUUAGAAUGUCAGAUAAAUCGUAAACCAACUCCUUAUAUAAUGUAUUACCUUUAAAUGACGAUUUUCCUCAGUUUUAAAUGCUUUUAUAACAACGUUUUGUCUUUGUCAGAUUAAUAUGUAUGUUUGUUUUCAUGUUUUAGUAAUUUGUGUUGUACGUCAGUGGUGUCUAUUUACAAAGUUUUUGGUAUUGGAUCUCUACUAUAGUCUAUGUAUGUUUGUCAAUAAAACGGAACUAUAAAACAAUUUUUACACAAGUGGCAGGUUUAGCUAGGUAUAAAAACAGGUUUAAACCAAUAUAAUUUUCAGAAAAUGUAUGUAUGAAGAUGGAAAUAUAACACUCGUGUUUCUUUUUUUUCUAUUGAUUAAUGUAGUAAGUUUUAUAUGGACCCCCCUUUACAAGUUACAAGAAUAACUAUGACAAGAGAUUCCUGACUUGAGACAGACGCAAAAAUGUGACGGGUUGAACAUGUUUUCUGAAAUUUCAACCCUCUCUCUAUAAUUCUAGCCAAUGUAGAAUAAACAAACACAGCAAAAUGCACAGUCAAUUCAAAAAGAAGUCCGAGUCCGAUGUUAGAAUAGGUAAGAGAAUAACUAAGCAAAAUGAAAAUGAUACAUAAAUUAACAAAGGAUUAUUAGAAGUUACUUACUUGUCUGUAAGAGACCUGAUUAAAAGGAUUUUCAUGAUUUGACAUACAUGUUCAGCAGACUUUACAGUCUCCAUCUUCAAAUAAAAAAAAAUAGUCCCAAAUACAUAAUCUGUUUUUAUUACAAAUGCAUGCAAAGCCCAACUCAGCCAUUGCUUCCAUUUUUAAAAUAAUUUCAUUUUGAAGAUUUAUUGAACUGAUAUUGACCUUUAUUAGUAUGUGAUUAUGUCAUUUAUGGGGAACCACUAGUGGUAGGUCAGUGAUACUUUAAUGCAGUUGUAUAAUCAUUGGCACAACUCCUAUUCGUAUUGAUUAUUUUGCCCCGCCCCGUCGGUUAUGGUCAAUUGACUCCGAAACAUUUUCUUAGUUUGCAUGCAUUAAUUUGUGAAAAAAUAAGGAAACACUCUUGGUGGUAAAUUACGUUUGGUAGGCAGUCGUAUUUUCACAUGACCAUCAAGACGACUUAUAAUUUAUUAAGGUAAACAUUUUUUUAAUUUGUAAAUUUUGAGCAAAUAUUAAUAUAUAAGCUACAUCAAACUGAUUGUUGAUUUAUAUUUUUUACAGUAUCCACUCCAAACACUAACUUAUAAUCGAACUUUAGUGUAAAAUUGAGGAAAAAGAAGGAUUGUCUUUCAAAUGUACCCUUCAUUUUUGAAGGACUUACGAUAGAAAACCAAAGGGAGAACUAAAAAAGACAAAAUGAAAUCAUUUUAUGAUGACAACAAAGGGCAUUUAAAUCAUUCUGUGAUACCUAGAAGCAUGUUUGAAAUUCGAAGGAAGACUUAUCAAGGAAGAUAAUAUAUGGACUACAACAACCAAUUAUACCAAAGGAAUAUGAAGAAACUUUAUUUUUUUUUUAUUGAAAAAA